UGAAGGAGAUUGUGAGAAACUAUUUUGUAGAAGCAAAGUGGUUCAUUGAGGGAUAUAUGCCGCCUGUUUCUGAGUAUCUUAGCAAUGCAUUAGCUACCAGCACAUAUUACUUGCUAACUACAACAUCCUAUUUGGGAGUGAAGUCAGCAACAAAGGAAGAUUUUGAAUGGUUGGCUACGAACCCUAAAAUUCUUGAAGCCAAUGUGACAUUAUGCCGAGUUGUUGAUGACAUAGCAACGUAUGAGGUAAUUAGCAUCGCAUUACACUACAUAAAUCAUCUUAUAAUUUAGAGUUACAGUAAUUUAAUACAAAUUGAUUUCACAUACUUAUAAAUGAAUUAUAAUUGCCAUUCCAGGUUGAGAAGGGUAGGGGCCAAAUCGCAACAGGAAUUGAGUGUUAUAUGAGGGAUUAUGACGUAUCAACAGAAGUAGCAAUGGAAAAAUUCCAAGAGAUGGCUGAGAUAGCAUGGAAGGAUGUAAAUGAAGGAAUUCUUCGACCAACACCUGUCUCUACAGAAAUUCUUACUCGCAUUCUCAAUCUUGCUCGUAUUAUAGAUGUCACUUACAAGCACAAUCAAGAUGGAUACACUCAUCCCGAAAAAGUUCUAAAACCUCACAUCAUUGCUUUACUGGUGGACUCCAUUGAGAUCUAAACCAUUGAGUUUUUUUUUCCUUUUAGUUCCAUCUAUAUAAGUUUCCUGUAAUACUACUGUACUUAAUUAAAACGUUUUUGUACCAUUAAUUUUUUAUAUCUUAAUAAUACUUCUUUUGUACCUAGCUCGAUCUUCUUUUUAUUUGCUAAAAUAAAUUGUAAGAUUUUAAGCAAAGAAACUGCCAUAUUGAUCAUCUAACAAUAAGGAGAAAGAGUGAAAAAAACAUAAGCUUUAUCUAAGCAAGUGACACUAGUACUAAAUUCUAAUAACAUACUACUCAUGAGGUUAAUAGUACUUUUAGGGUGUGUUUGGUAUGAAGGAAAAUGUUUUCCUGGAAAACAAGUAGGCUUUUGACUUAUUUUUUCAUGUUUGAUUGGUAAGUAGAAAAUAUUUUUUAGUGUUUGAUUUAUGAAUGAAAAUUAUUUUUGAGAAAAUAUCUCUUUUUUACUAGAGAGUAGAAAAUAAUUUUUGAAUUGAAAUUGAAAAUAUUUUAAAAAAAUAAACUUAAUUUUUUUUGGGUGGGAGGCAGUGGCGGACCCAGGAUUUUCACGAAAUGGGUUCAAGAUAUAAAAAUAUACCUAAUAUUAUUUGUAAUUUUUAUAGGCUAACAGCAUACAUAUCUGACUAUACUAAACAAUGUUAAUACAUUUGAAAAAAAUUUACAUUGACUUAGGAAUGAGACGGUAAAUAACAAGAUGGACGAAAAACUAGGCUUCAAUAUAAACUAAGAAGAUAAAAGAAUAUUAUGAAUGAUUUCUCUUCAUUCAACAUUUAGCAAAUAAAAACAAAAUGUUAAACAAAAUAAUUAUAACCUUAAUUUCAGAAUCGAAUACAUAGAAAUAUACCUAAUAUUAUUUGUAAUUUUUUGUUGAUUUUAGAAUGAUAAGGGAUUUUUUAGUUGAAGAAAUAAAAAAUAACCACAAUAAUCAUAUAUGUAUAUAUAAAGACUAGAAUCAAGAGCGAAAAACAUACUUGAUGGAUAUUGACUAUUGAUGUGAGAUUUGAGAGACGGGGAGAGUUUUUUUUCCUUCAAUAAAAAAAUAUGGUCAAAAUUUUGGGGAGGAAAGUAAGAGAGGUUCAAGAAGAUUUCAACAAAGAAGAAGACAAAAGAGUUUUUAGAAUUGAGAAUAAUAGGGAUUAGUGUCCUUUUUCGUGUUUAAGUUUUUUUUUUAAAAAAAAUUAAAACAAAAGGACAAAAGUUGUUGACUAUUGGACUUUUAAUUGUAAAAGUAAAAAGUUAGUUCUACUUUUUAUAGUUUCUAAGUAACUAAAAGGACAAAAGUAACACCUACAUAGAGGAAAAAAAUUGUGUGUGAACGUUUUAUAUAUAAAAAAAACGAAUUAAAACUAAAAAUGUGGCAAUGGGGAUUCGAUCCCGGGUUGGAUGGGAACAUUGAACCUCCCUCAACCACUCAGCUAAGCUUCAAACUUGUGUUAGUGGGUUCAAAAUUUAAUAUAUACAUAUAAAAUUUUAAAAACUGAUUAAAUAUACAUAUAUAUACAGUGUUAUUUUUCAAUGAAGUGGGUUCAUAUGAACCAACUUGAACCACUGUAGGUCCGCCCCUGGUCAUAUAGGCCCAUGUUGGACAUCCAAUUGCUUCGAUUUGAAUUAUCUAGAACGCAAGUUGAAUCACAACGAAUAUUAUGAUCAAACAUGAUUUUCAGAAUUAUUAUUCGAGAAAAAGUAAAAUAUAUUCAUAGUUAAACGACCAAUAGUAUGAUUUGUUUUCAAUAAUCAAAUUAUCACUUAUUAAUUGUUUUAUUUUUUGUAUUGCGGUAAAAAAAUAAAAAAAUUGAAGUUGAAAAAUGUUUUUUUAAAAUAAGCUUUAAAUUUAUUUGUUCAACAAAAAAAUUUGAUUUUUUCAACAAAAAAAUUGUAAUAUGAAGUUGGAGGAAAGUUUUAGAAAAUGUUUUCCUUAAGUUUUGAAGGGAAGUCAUUUUUCUUGAAUUUGAGGAAAAUGAGUUGAUUUGGAAAAUAUUUUCCUAAACAUUUUACCCAACCAAACAUGAAAAAAAUUGGAAAACAUUUUCCGGAAAAUGUUUUCCUUCAUACCAAACACACCCUUAGUCCUUUUGUUAUUCAUAAAUUUAAUGUUAAUUUUUAUGAUAUCUAACUAAACACAUUAAAUCUUUAGUUAAUUAAAAUAUGCAUAUUUUAAUUCUUUUGCUCGUAAAUAUUUACCAAUUUUCUAUGAUUAUUAACUGUUCCAUUAUCUAAUUAUUUUUGAUUUGUUGUGUUGUGUUAAGUUUAUAGUAUUUCCUCAUAUUUGAUGGUAAAUAUAACUCUAAAAAUAAUCUGAAUAUAAUAUAUUUUAUGCAAAGAAACAAAAGUAGAAUAAAAUUAAAUAUGUUAGGUAGGGCUGUUCAAAAUGGAAUCGAAAUCGAUAACUCAAAUCGAAAAAAAGUUAUUAAUUUAUUGAUAAUAGGUUAUUUGUUUAACGAUUUUGGUAUUGGUUUUUGAUUUUUUUAUCAUCGGGUUAUUGAUUCUUAACGAAAUUGAAGUUUUUUCUUAAUGGGUUAAUUGAUAACUAGAUAAUAAAUUAAUAAAUUAUAUUAAUACCAUUUUGGUAUAUAAAGUCCUUUGACUUAGGAUUUAGUUUCAUAUUUUCAAUUCUUUUUUUGGUAACCAAUGUAAACUAUUACCAUACCAUCCAAAAACAAUUACAAAUAAAGAGUACCCUCUCCUGAUAACAGGUUGAGGUCUCCAACCAAACAAGGAAACUAAUUACAAAAUAAAUGCUGAAUGAAACCUCUACAUCUUUGAGCUUUCUUUGAAUUACUCAAGAAUUGUAUUCUUUCUGUUAUCUCCUUCUUAAUCUGUAUGACUACAUCUUUUGUAUUUACAUUCUUUCCUUUGUACUUCUUCCAAUUUCUAACACGCCAAGUGUGAUAUAGGACUGCUCCACUAAUUGCCGCAAUAAUCUCCUUUUUAAACUGCUUCCAAUGUUUCUCCUUUAUUCCAUCCAGAAACUGUGUGAUCCCAUUGUUUAUCAAAUAUAUACCUGUCCACCAAACUAUCUCUUGCCAUACCAUCUUAGACCAUUUACAUUCUUCAAACAAAUGCCUUGUGGUCUCCAUAACUUUCUCUUCACAUAGACAACAUUCAGUGUCAUCAACCUGAAUGUGCAGUCUCAACUUUCUCUCUUGUGUAAGCAAUCGACCUUGUAUAGCUAGCCACACCAUGAAUCUGUGUUUUGGUAGAGCCACAGCAGUCCACACUAAAUCAGCAGUUUCCAAUUGUUGUCUUUGCCCUUUAAUUGCCAAAUAACUCCGUGUGAUGGAAUAUGUACCAUUUUUUGUCAACAUGUAUUUUCAAUUCUGACAGUCUCAAACUUUCAGUUAUUCUACAAUGUGUUAGUGUUGUUUUUUAGCAAGAUACAAUUUAUCAACUCAUGUGCAUCGUUUAUUUGAUUUGUCACCAUGUUCUAAGAGAUUUUCAAUAAUUUAUUUUCGUGUCAAAUCAUAACGAUUAAACCAAUAACAAAACCGGUAACGAUCAAUAACCGAUAAACCGAUAAGCCAAUAUAUUAAUGGUUCUUAACGGUUUAGCACAUCUACAAAUUGAUAACCGAUUAGUUGAACCGAUAAACUUCAAAACCGAACCGAAUCAACCAAUGCAACACAUAUAUCACAAAAAUCAAAAUCAAAAUCAAAAUUUAUUGAUAUAUAAAUGAUGAACCAAAAGUAUUUACAAACCGUUCUGAAAAUAAUGUGAAACUCCAAAAAUACUAACUAAAAUAACUGCUUUAAACUCCAAAAAUUGAAUGUCUCAACUCUCAAGUGGAUCAAGUUAUCUUUUUUACUCAAAAAUAGAAUUGCACUAUUUAAUGUGUAAAAUUGCUGACAUUUCACUUAGUGAUAAAAAAUUAAAAACGUUAGAUGAUGAAAAAUUGAAAAACUUUAUCAAGCCAAAAACAUAAUCGAUUUGUACUAUUCACAAUGUAAAAAAUAGGUUUUGACAUUUUUUUAAGAAAAAAAUUGAGAUUUUUAAGGGUGAAUUUGAUGAAAAGAAUAUUACAUUAACCUUGAAUAUUUCUUAAAACAUUAUGUAAGUCUUUAUGAAUGAUAGUGAUACGUACAAGAUGGCUCAAACACUAUCAUUAUAAAUUAGAUUUGAAUUAAAAAAAAUACAAAUAUUAUUAUAUAAAUUAAAGCUUAAUUUAUUUUAGUUUAUAAAAUACUUUUUAUUUUUUAUUUUUUGAAAAAGACUUAACACAUUUUUCUAUUUGGAGAUUCUUUAUUUUUAACGUUCAUUUAUCCUUAAUGACAUCAAUGUAAGAUUUGUGGAAAACAUUUUAGUCUCAUAAAAAAUUGAUUCUAUAUCCAAUAUAGACUUUUUAUUUAAUUGUAGCACAAACAUGAUUUAAAUUCCUAAAAGAAUGAAAUAAAGAAAUAGUGACAAAUUUUUUUGUUACAGAUUCUCAGUUACAUCACAUUUUAAAAAAAAUGUCAUAAUUGGGGAUAUUUCUAGUUUUAAAGUGGUUUUAUUUCAGGUUAAUGUCUUCAAUUAUCUAUCAUUACUGUUGAAUGAUAUGUGUCAAAUCUCUUUUUAGCAAUCCAAUUGAAGUAUUUCUCUUCUCAUUUGUAUCCCAAUUUUGUUCCAAUGAUAGUUUUUGUUUAUUGUCAGUCAAUUUAAGAACAAAUACUCGAUCAUUAUAUUAUUUCCCGCAUAUUUUUAUCUUCCUUUCUCUCUCCAACUCUUUUCUUUUCAUUUUCUCGAUCGCCAUUUUUCAUAUCAUCAAAUAACUUUUUUUUCUGUGAACUUAUUGUUUUUAUCCAUGUUCUUUUCUAUUAUGGAAAGAUUAUCAAUCUAAGUACAUGGUAUUAGUCGAAAAAUUCACUUCUCUUUAGUCAUUAUUACCUUUUAAAAAAAAACUAUUUCAUUAGAUAAGGUAUGCAUAAGGCUAAUUUUUAUUAGUAAAGAAAAAAAAAAUUAAAGGACCUCAAAGGAAAAAUACAAGUAAGGGAGAAAAGUACAAAUAAGGGGUAUCAGAACAGUUUCGGAUAAAUUAUAAUUUCUUGUUAUGUCCCUUUGGAUAAACUAUUUUUGAUUCGCUUAAUACCAAUAAAAAUGAAGAUAUAGAUAUUUAUAAUUAUAAUUAUUUUGGAGAUAACUUGAAUCUCUUAUAUUCAAACCGCUUCAUAAUUAUAUUGAUUUGUUGUUCUUCAUGUCUACUAUGAAACUCUGCAUCACUAAUUCUCCAUCUUCGUCGUUUAAAGCAUGAAGCAACUUCCAAAUUUUUGAAUUGGAUCUUGAAUUUUUUGUUUUAGAAACUAUUACUCUUUUAUUAGGAGUAUAAUUAAUGAUGUAGUUUUGAUACUUAUAAAUGAUAAAUAAAAAAGAACGGAGAAAUUUUGAUAUAUUUUUUGUUCAUAAUUAGAAUAUGCGAUAAACAAAACUAUAUACAUUUGAGAAAUUCUCUAUUCUUCAAAAAAAAAAUUGUCAAUUCUCAAUCUGUCCAAAUCGAGAAAAUAAAAGCACAUUAUGAAAAAAAAAGUGUGCAUAAAAAUUUGCAUUUAGUCUAUUCUACUGAAUUAGUUACAUUUCAAUUUGUAUAAAUUCAACAUUAACUUAAUAAAAUAGGAUGGCAUAGAAACUCAACUUUGAACCGGAAAAACAAGUGCACAAAAGUAAUUUAUGUUUAAGCCAUCAAUCUAUGAACUUUACAAAUAAUAUGUGUUUAAUUCAAUAAAUUAAAUUAAAUAUUGCAUAUCGCCCUUUAUUUUUCUUUUGGGACAUGAUUUUCAAUUCAAAGUUGCUACAUUCUGCACUCAAGGAAAAUCCAAUAUUAUUAUAUUUUGGGUGCCAUCGAAAUAGACCACAAAUCAACAUUCCAAAUGCAUGGUGCAAUUGUGACAAAAAAGACUAAAAGACAAAAUAAUGCAAUGUCUCAUACUAGUUUAGUAAUAUUUUAUAUUGCAAGUCGUUUUCUGAAUUGACACUAGAAACCCUUAGACUUACAGACAGACGCCAAAAAAGGAAAACAAAAUUAAAAAUGGAAUGGAUUAAACUUUUAUACACUAACCAGUACAAUAGUCAAGUGCGGCAACCAGACGGCAAUAAGUAUUUAAACGUGAAGGAUUGAUGGCUGAGACAAAAGACUCUCACCAUACAUUAUAAAUACUCAUUUCCUUCACUUCCAUUUCCAUCAUCACUUGUUCAAUUUCUCUAAGCACAAAAUUAACACUUCUUUUUCACAAGCUAACUGUAGAAGAAAUGGCCCUAGCUGCUGCAGUGAUGAGUAACUACGGAGAGGAGGAGAUUGUUCGCCCUGUUGCUGACUUCUCUCCAAGUCUUUGGGGUGAUCGUUUCCAUUAUUUCUCCCUCGAUAAUCAGGUAUAUUUAAUUGAUUUGUCUGUUUAAAGCACAUUGUUUAAUAAAAUGUAUUACUUAUUAUAUAAAUUUUCAUUUGGAUAAAUUAAUUUAUAGGUUGAAAAAGAGUAUGCUCAAGAGAUUGAAACAUUGAAAGAGCAAACAAGGAGUAUGUUGUUAGCUGCGAGUGGAAUGACAUUGGCUGAGAAGUUGAAUCUGAUAGACAUUGUUGAGCGCCUUGGCUUAGCUUACCAUUUUGAGAAACAAAUAGAAGACAUGUUGGAUCAAAUUUACAAAGCACAUCCUAACUUUGAGAGUCAUGAAUACAGUGACUUAACUACUUUAUCCGUUCAGUUUCGACUACUGAGACAACAUGGUUACAAUAUCUCUCCAAGUACGUAAUAUAAUAUAAUAUAAUAUAAUAAUCAACACCGUUACACUAGCACGUAACUAAUAGUAAGUAAUAUUUUGUUUUCAACUUGAACCAGAAAUUUUUAGCAGAUACCAAGAUGCAAAGGGAAAAUUUAACGAACCCCUUAGCAACGACAUCAAAGGUCUAUUGAACUUAUAUGAAGCUUCACAUGUAAGGACUCAUGGAGAAGACAUCUUAGAAGAGGCACUUGCUUUCUCCACUGCUCAUCUUGAAUCUGCAGCUCCACAUUUGAAGUCACCUCUGAGUAAGCAAGUCACACAUGCCCUUGAGCAAUCUCUCCAUAAGAGCAUUCCAAGAGUUGAGACACGAUACUUCAUCUCUAUCUACGAAGAGGAGGAACAUAAGAAUGAUGUGUUGCUUCGAUUUGCAAAACUGGACUUCAACUUACUUCAGAUGUUGCACAAACAAGAACUCAGUGAAGUAUCAAGGUAUGCUAGCUAGUAAUUUACAUGAAAAAUAUAAAUUAAUUGUUACUCGAUAGUAAUUUCUCAAAUCAAUUCUAAAUUUUUAAGAUUGAUUCUUAUUUUAUAGGUGGUGGAAAGAUUUGGAUUUUGUGACAACACUUCCAUAUGCUAGGGAUAGAGCAGUUGAGUGCUACUUUUGGACGAUGGGAGUGUAUGCUGAACCUCAGUAUUCUCAUGCUCGUGUCAUGCUUGCUAAGACUAUAGCAAUGAUUUCUAUAGUAGAUGACACAUUCGAUGCUUAUGGAAUCGUAAAAGAACUCGAGGUUUACACCGAUGCCAUACAGAGGUAUGAACAAUUGCCUCUCCAACAGCAAAUGGUUAAUUUCUUAGAAGGGAAACUUACUUAAUCUUUAUCUUUUAUUAGGUGGGAUAUCAGCCAAAUUGAUCGGCUCCCAGAUUACAUGAAAAUCAGUUAUAAAGCACUUCUAGAUCUCUACAACGAUUAUGAAACAGAGUUGUCAAUGGAUGGUAGAUCCGAUGUUGUUCACUACGCCAAAGAAAGAGUAUGAAUCAUGACUUAUACUAGUUAUCUCAAUAUUAAUCAGUUUGUUAACGAAUAUCUGUAGCUUUUUCUCCUCAUCUUUGCGUAUAAGGAAAUUCAUUUUUUGAAUAAAUACUGAUGUUUGAGUGUCUUUGCUUGUUGUUGACAGAUGAAAGAAAUCGUGAGAAACUAUUUUGUGGAAGCAAAAUGGUUCAUUGAAGGAUACAUGCCACCUGUUUCUGAGUAUCUUAGCAAUGCAUUAGCUACUAGCACUUAUUACUUGCUUACGACAACAUCCUACUUGGGCGUGAAAUCUGCUAACAAGGAAGAUUUUGAAUGGUUGGCUAAGAACCCUAAAAUCCUUGAAGCCAAUGUGACUUUAUGUCGAGUCAUUGAUGAUAUAGCAACCUAUGAAGUUGAGAAGGGUAGAGGUCAGAUUGCAACUGGAAUUGAGUGUUAUAUGAGGGAUUAUGGCGUAUCAACAGAAGUAGCAAUGGAAAAAUUCCAAGAGAUGGCUGAGAUAGCAUGGAAGGAUGUAAAUGAAGGAAUUCUUCGACCAACACCUAUCUCUACAGAAAUCCUUACUCGUAUUCUCAAUCUGGCUCGUAUUAUAGAUGUCACUUACAAGCACAAUCAAGAUGGAUACACUCAUCCAGAGAAGGUUCUAAAACCUCACAUUAUCGCUUUGUUGGUAGAUUCUAUUGAAAUUUAAAUUAUCAAUUCACCAAGGAAUACUUGGUACUUCUCAGUCCCUUAAAUAAGUAAUUGGUGAUAUCGUGCAAUGAAGUUACUUUCUUAACUUUCUUCUUUGUAUUAUCAUUGAUAAUAUUUAAAUUUAAUUACUUCAGUUUCUACCUAGCUGCUUUAGCUUAAUUUGUUUAAGUUAUGUAAAACAAUUCUGAAAGUCAUGACGUGAAAGAAUAUGCUUCAACAGUUUCUGAUUAGCCACAAGAAAAUAAAUAAAAAAUUGAAUAUUCC
This 9321-nucleotide long non-coding RNA is filed under the name Solanum tuberosum (potato). Its description in RNAcentral is "long non-coding RNA (STUB_LNC002317)". The record is from RNAcentral. Lineage: Eukaryota; Viridiplantae; Streptophyta; Magnoliopsida; Solanales; Solanaceae.